GUCAUCCCACGCAAAGGGGUACACAGAUGAGGCACACUCCGAUCCAUACACACUGAGCCACUUCUUAGAAGAUGUGGGGAUGGGUGAAGAGAGAGGGGAGCAGGGGGGAGGGAGGACUCAUAUAAGAAGGUGGGUGGAUGGGCGAGGGAGGGUUCAUGAGGGUUCAAGGAGGUUGUAAUAAGCAAAUUGAAUAGGUAGGAAUAAAAUAUCACCUCCGCCAACCACUUGUUCCCAAAGUUCAGAAUCAGUUCUAGGGGUGCUUGAGUGGCUCAGUUGGUCAAGCACCUGAUUCUUGGUUUUGGCUCAGGUCAUGGUCUCACAACUUGUGAUUUCUAGCCCCUCAUGGGCUCUGUGCUGACAGCACAGAGCCUGCUUGGGAUUCUCUCUCUCUCCCUCCUUCUCUGCCCUGCCCCUGCUCAUGCUCUCUCUCUC
Molecule: long non-coding RNA, 432 nt
Organism: Acinonyx jubatus (cheetah)
Lineage: Eukaryota; Metazoa; Chordata; Mammalia; Carnivora; Felidae
Exons: 2
Source: RefSeq, a predicted model, not a curated record